UACGGGAUAACAUAUUUGAGAGGCAUCUCUUAAAUAUCAAAGGUGAGCCAGUACAGGAUGGACCCGCGUCUGAUUAGCUAGUUGGUAAGGUAACGGCUUACCAAGGCGACGAUCAGUAGCCGACCUGCGAGGGUGAUCGGCCACAUUGGAACUGAGACACGGUCCAAACUCCUACGGGAGGCAGCAGUGGGGAAUAUUGCACAAUGGGCGAAAGCCUGAUGCAGCAACGCCGCGUGAGUGAUGAAGGCCUUCGGG
This 255-nucleotide ribosomal RNA is filed under the name Clostridioides difficile. RNAcentral describes it as "partial 16S ribosomal RNA". It matches the Rfam family "Bacterial small subunit ribosomal RNA", at positions 167 to 422 of the family's 1533-position model. The record is from RNAcentral. Lineage: Bacteria; Bacillati; Bacillota; Clostridia; Peptostreptococcales; Peptostreptococcaceae.